CACGUAGGGGGCGAGCGUUGUCCGGAUUUAUUGGGCGUAAAGAGCUCGUAGGCGGCUCAGUAAGUCAGGUGUGAAAACUCCAGGCUCAACCUGGAGACGCCACCUGAUACUGCUGUGGCUAGAGUCCGGUAGGGGAGCAUGGAAUUCCUGGUGUAGCGGUGAAAUGCGCAGAUAUCAGGAGGAACACCGAUGGCGAAGGCAGUUCUCUGGGCCGUAACUGACGCUGAGGAGCGAAAGCGUGGGGAGCGAACAGG
Molecule: ribosomal RNA, 254 nt
Filed under: uncultured bacterium
Lineage: Bacteria
Description: partial 16S ribosomal RNA
Rfam family: Bacterial small subunit ribosomal RNA
Source: RNAcentral